This is an RNA transcript of Pipistrellus kuhlii (Kuhl's pipistrelle), 620 nucleotides long. It is a transcript of the gene named 60S ribosomal protein L13a-like, with no coding region annotated. The transcript has 2 exons. The record is from RefSeq and is a predicted model, not a curated record. NCBI's taxonomy places the organism in Eukaryota, Metazoa, Chordata, Mammalia, Chiroptera, Vespertilionidae.
UUUCCCAGGCGGCUGCCGAAGAUGGCAGAGGGGCAGGUCCUGGUGCUAGAUGGUGGAGGCCAUCUCCUGGGCCGCCUGGCUGGUGGUUGUGCGUUGUGAGGGCAUCAGCAUUUCUGGCAAUUUCUACAGAAACAGGUUGAAGUACCUGGCCUUUCUCCGCCAACGAAUGAACACCAGCCCAUCCCGCGGCCCUUACCACUUCUGAGCCCCCAGCCGCACCUUCUGGCGGCCGGUGCGAGGCAAGCUGCCCACAGACUGAGCGCAGCAGGCCGCCUUGGGCCGCCUCAAGGUGUUUGACGGGAUCCCGCCGCCCUACGACAAGAAAAAGCGAAUGGUGGUUCCCGCCGCCCUCAAGAUUGUGCGUCUGAAGCCUGCCGGGAAGUUUGCCUACCUCAGGAGCCUGGCUCAUGAGGUUGGCUGGAAGUACCAGGCCGUCACAGCCACGCUGGAGGAGAAGAGGAAGGAGAAGGCCCAGAUCCACUACUGCAAGAAAAAGCAGCUCAUGAGGCUACGGAAACAGGCCGAAAAGAACGUCGAGAAGAAAAUUGACAAAUUCACAGAGGUCCUCAAGACCCAUGGACUCCUGGUCUGAGCCCAAUAAAAUUGACUGUUAUUCCUCA